UACGGGAGGCAGCAGUGGGGAAUAUUGGACAAUGGGCGAAAGCCUGAUCCAGCCAUGCCGCAUGAGUGAAGAAGGCCUUCGGGUUGUAAAGCUCUUUUAGUGAGAAAGAUAAUGACGGUACUCACAGAAGAAGUCCUGGCUAACUCCGUGCCAGCAGCCGCGGUAAUACGGAGGGUGCUAGCGUUAAUCAGAAUUACUGGGCGUAAAGAGCACGUAGGUGGUUUUUUUAAGUCAGAUGUGAAAUCCCUGGGCUUAACCUGGAACUGCAUUUUGAAACUGAAAUACUAGAGUAUCGUAGAGGGAGGUAGAAUUCUAGGUGUAGCGGUGAAAUGCGUAGAUAUCUGGAGGAAUACCUGUGGCGAAAGCGGCCUCCUAAACGAAUACUGACACUGAGGGUGCGAAAGCGUGGGGAGCAAACAGGGAUUAGAUACC
RNAcentral lists this ribosomal RNA (432 nucleotides) under uncultured bacterium. RNAcentral's name for it is "bacterial SSU rRNA". It matches the Rfam family "Bacterial small subunit ribosomal RNA", at positions 340 to 786 of the family's 1533-position model. The record is from RNAcentral.